GGAGAAGUGGCCGAGCGGUCUAAGGCACUCGUUUGCUAAACGAGCGGGGCGCAAGUCCUGCCCUGGUUCGAAUCCAGGCUUCUCCGCCA
Molecule: transfer RNA, 89 nt
Filed under: Rhodospirillaceae bacterium
Lineage: Bacteria; Pseudomonadati; Pseudomonadota; Alphaproteobacteria; Rhodospirillales; Rhodospirillaceae
Also listed under: 1 other name
Description: tRNA-Ser
Rfam family: tRNA
About the family: Transfer RNA (tRNA) molecules are approximately 80 nucleotides in length. Their secondary structure includes four short double-helical elements and three loops (D, anti-codon, and T loops).
Source: RNAcentral